Molecule: ribosomal RNA, 450 nt
Filed under: uncultured bacterium
Lineage: Bacteria
Description: bacterial SSU rRNA
Rfam family: Bacterial small subunit ribosomal RNA
Source: RNAcentral
GUGGGGAAUUUUGGACAAUGGGGGCAACCCUGAUCCAGCCAUGCCGCGUGAGUGAAGAAGGCCUUCGGGUUGUAAAGCUCUUUCGGUGGGAACGAAACGGUGUAGGUCAAUACCCUGCACUCCUGACGGUACCUACAGAAGAAGCACCGGCUAACUACGUGCCAGCAGCCGCGGUAAUACGUAGGGUGCGAGCGUUAAUCGGAAUUACUGGGCGUAAAGCGUGCGCAGGCGGCGCGUUAAGACAGGUGUGAAAGCCCCGAGCUUAACUUGGGAAUUGCGCUUGUGACUGGCGAGCUGGAGUGUGGCAGAGGGAGGUGGAAUUCCACGUGUAGCAGUGAAAUGCGUAGAGAUGUGGAGGAACACCGAUGGCGAAGGCAGCCUCCUGGGCCAGCACUGACGCUCAUGCACGAAAGCGUGGGGAGCAAACAGGAUUAGAAACCCCGGUAGUCC